This 18853-nucleotide long non-coding RNA is filed under the name Gossypium raimondii (Peruvian cotton). RNAcentral's name for it is "long non-coding RNA (GRAI_LNC007611)". Lineage: Eukaryota; Viridiplantae; Streptophyta; Magnoliopsida; Malvales; Malvaceae. The record is from RNAcentral.
UGUGGAAGCAACGUCUUCAUACUUGAGCAGUCCACUAUCUUAAAUUCCUUGAGAUGGGAAAAGCUGGCAGACGAAGCCAAUGUUGAUGUUGUUGCUGAACCAAUUCCUGCAUCUUUCAUAAUAAGGGCACUCAACUUUGGCAGAUGUUGAAGAUCCAACAUCUCGAGGCUCUGAAAUGGAUGAAUGGAAGAAGAGGCAAAAGAGGACAAGGAAACAACACACUCUAUCCCUUUACAAUCAUAAAUCCUCAAGUCAAUUGCAUUUUUGAAGGAAGAGUUAUCAUCGACUAAGCAUCUCAAAUAGUGGCACUUUACAAUAUUCAACUCUUGAAUUUCAAUUGGGUGCAUAAUUAAAUCACCUUCCCAAUUCUGGACUCCUCCAAUUGUUACUGUUUUAUCUCUUGUAGCAAGCAUAAAAGAUAAGCCCACCUGUAAAGAGUACUUGAUGAGAUUUUUCUUACUUUGUUGCAUUGAGGAGAUGAACUUAUUGAAUUCACUGAUGUCUUCGAAAUGUCCGGUUAAGCACUCCAACUUCUUCAAUGGUUCCAUCUCCUCUGCUUUUAGACUUGUUCUUUUAUUGUUCUUAUGAAAACACAAGUGCUGAAGGUGAACGAGUUUUGAUAAAAGUCCAGCGGGUAUCUCUUUCAGGGUGAACACUUGAAGAUCAAUAUAUCUUAGCUUUAUCAGCAUAUCCAUUCCUUCAGGGACUUCCUCAAUUUUAGUCCUAGAAAGAUCCAACUUCUUCAAUUCUUGAAGCAUCGAAAGACAUGGCAGAUCUCUUAAUUCAUAACAGUCACGAAGCAACAAUGUUGUGAGGUUCUUUAGUUCAGAGAUGGAAUCUGGUAAACUUUUGAUUUUCGUAGAGGACAAAUUGAGAACACUAAGACAAGGCAUGUUUGUGAAGAAAGAAAUUGAAAUCUUCUUUAUAGGGUUCUCCUGCAAUAACAAGGUUGUGAGCAGUUGACAUUUUGUGGGCAGCACAUCUAUGGAAAUUUCUGAUAUGGAGUUAUGCAUAAGUGACACUUUCUCAAUAUCCGGACUCCAUUGCUCCUUUUCUGGUAACUCUUCUAAUUGCAAACCUGCUUGUAUCAUAUAUCGAGGAUUCAUUCUUGUGAUCGACAAUGCCAUCUCUCUCACUGCAUCAUGCAUCUUUAUGCAAGGUUGACCAUGUACAUUGGUAAUAUUUUCCAACAAGCAAUUCUCUUCUAACUUCUUCAAAAUAACAUGGCCCUUUUCUUUCAUUUCUUGUCUUGUACCCAUAUCAUCUAUGAAUCGCUCGUCAAUCCAGCACUGAAUUAGCUCAUCUUUUCUAAUUUCAUAAUCUUCAGGAUAUAAUGCACAAUGUAAGAAACAAUAUUUCACUUUCUCGUCCUUUAAGUGAUCGAAGCUAAAUUUCAAACGCUUUAUCACUUUAGCUUCCACUUCUUCCUCUUUUUCUAUUCUCUCUUUCAAUUCCCCGAGUGCGUUUUUCCAAAUAAGAGGGUCCUCUUCUCCUUUCAAUGUACCAGCUACGACGACAAUUGUAAGAGGUAGACCCGCACAUUCCUUGACAACAAGCUUUAGAGUAGGCAUUAUAGUUUGAUUUUGCACUAUGUUAGGCCCAACUUUGCUCAAGAACAGUGUCAAUGCCUGUUGUGCUGAAAGGGGCUUCACUUUUAUCACCGUGCAACCCAUAUACUUACAGACAUGCUCCGAACGGGUUGUCAACACCAACUUGCAGCCAUUGCUGUCACUCAGCUCGGGGAUCCCAACUUCCUCUAGAGAGACUUUAUCCCACACAUCAUCUAGGAUUAAAACAUGCUUUCCUGCAUUCUUCAUCAUUUCUGACAAGAUUGCUGCUCGUCUGAGCUUGUCUCCUUCUCUAGGCCAAUCUUCCUUCAACUUCAAAGCACCUGCAAUAUCAUCUUGUACCUUCAUGACAUUGAACUCCUUUGAUAUGGUAACCCAGAUUACCCUUUCGAAUCUUUGUUGCUUUAAAAGAUCAUUGUGGAUGUGCUUCAUGAUAGUGGUUUUACCCACACCGCCCAUCCCCCAAACCCCAAUCUUGCUCACCUCCUCCUGCAUCAAACAUGCCCAAAUCUCAUUUCUGACAGCUUCCUCUCCAACUAGUUCUGAUGUUGGCAGCGGCAACCCAGCAUUUGGACCAUCCAUGGCAAGACCUUCAGAGGCAUUAGGAGCUUUAUCAAGAAAUCUCUUCAUUUCUCGAGUCUUUUCAUCAACCAGCUUGCCGUUGCAAGCACGACAGAGAUAUCUCCCGUUCCUGACUUUGUUUUCAACAACUUGUGCUUCCCUAAUCAUCUCUUUCACAUCUUUCAACCAAUUUUCAACUCCCUUCUUUGGUACCUUCCGCAGAGGACGAAGAAGCUCUGCUUUCACUUGCAGCUCUAUAUCUUCCAUUUUGCAAUUCAAUUCAUCUCUGAUCGUCUUGAAGUUUCUCACAUAGUCGUUCAGCUUUCUGUGAUAUUGCAAAAAUUUACAAACAGGAGUGCCGAGACAAUUUGCAAUGCCAACAACAGGCUCUACGUACUCCAUUGCUAUGUCCCUGCAAUGCAAUCAUAUAUAACAGAAGCAGAGAAUGAAAAUCUGUGAAUGUAUUGGAUAUUUUAUGAAGUAUUGAUAUGUCAGUGUAAGCGUGAAAAGGAAAACAUGAUUGCAAGUUUCAAGCAAUGGCGUUUAUUAGAUGGAGCUAUGGAUGGGUGGCUGACAGAAACAUGAUGAAAUUCUGGUCACCAGAAUUAAGCUCUCAAUGUAUAUAAAAUGCUAGAUUCAAGUGUGCAACAGUUCAUUACAGAAUAUUAAGAGUUAAAAUGUUAAAAGUAUGAGAUUUCAACAUUAUAUUGCUUCUGGGUAGCUCUUUCUGUAUUAAUUUCAAUCUAGAGUAGAUUAUGUCUGCUGAUCAUCUUGUCUUAAAAUCUAAAACUGUUGAUAAUCAGUAGAGGAAAUCAUAGCUUCAGAUCUUCUUACCUGGCUUAGUGGCUGAAAAGUGUUGAGAGAAUAGAACUGAAAAUGAAGCAGUGAAGUUGACUGUCUUACAAAGCUAGCUGCUAAGGCCUAAGAGUAGCAGAUAAUCAGCAACAACCAUUGCAAAGCCAUGAAUUAAGCAAAGAAAAGCAUGUGAUGAAUCAAGCAAAUGAAAGAAAAUUACCUGGACAGGAUGCUUGAAAUUUGGUGAUAGACCUUGGACAUCAAAAGAAAUUAAAAACAGUGAAGAAGAAAGAAUGUUGUGGGUACAAUAGCCAAGAAGAUGAAGAAAGUUAAGAUAGAAACAGGCAAAAUUCCGGGGUAGGUUCCACAAAGGCAGAAUGUUGUUCACCCUUUUUAGGAAUAGUCAAAAUUGGAAUUAUCAUUGUACCAAAAAAAUAUUAGUCACUAAACUAUUGCUAAUUUUUGUUUCAGUCACUCAAUUAAAAAAAGUUACAAUUUCACCACUAAUAUUUUUGAAAUUUUUUUUUGUCACUCAUGGAACUUUUUAAUUGAUUUAAUAAUAAUUUACUUUCAGUCAAUUUGAUUUUAAUAAUAUAUAAAAUGGUAAAAAGUUAAAAAUUAUGUUUAAAAUUUUAGAACAUUAUAAAAUUAAAAAAAUAAAAAAGUGAGAAAAUUAGGGAUAAUUAUUUUUAAACCCUACAAAAUUUCUCUAUAUUAUCUAUAUUCAAUACUCAUUCUUUAAAAACAAACAUAGAAAAAAUAUUAAGCAAAAAUAUUUGUUUUUUACGUCUUCAGUUACUUGACAUAGCUUUUACAUUAUAAGAAAAGAUAAAAUUCUGAAUAUAAUUUCUUUUUACAAUUUGGGUUUUGAAAAAAAAUUAAAAUGUAAUGGAAUUUUGAAUUGAGUUUGGAAAAGAAAAAUUAUGGUAUAUUUUGUAUUCUUUUGACUAAAAAUAUGGCAUCAAGGUCAAUUUCAUAAGUAUUUGUAAUAUCAAUUCUAGAUGUUCUUCAAGGGCAUAUUCAAGUUAUUCAGUUAUUUAUUUCUCAAUACAAUUCAGUUAUUCAACAACAUAUUCAAGAUUUUAUUUUUUUAGAGUUUUUAUAUACAUUUUCCUAUUUUAUAAAUAUUUUUUAGUUUUUUUUUAUAAUUUUAUACAAAAUCAAGGUCGAAUUGACAGAAAAUAUAAAAUUUGAGGACUAAAACUAUUAUUAUACCAACUAAAACAAGUGCCACUUAAUAGUCAGGUGACAAAAAACAAACAAUUUGAAAAACACUAGUGACCAAAUUGUAACUCUUUUUUAGUUAAGUGACCAAAACGAAAACUUACCCAUGCUUGAACGACUAAUGGUGUAGUUUACCCUAAAUUCUUUUAAGAAAUUUAGUUUAAAACCUUUUUAUCUAUACUAUGUAUUAAGUCUUUUACUGAGUUGGUUUAACCCAUCAAUCGGUCCCAACUCAGUAAGAAAAUUAUGAAAAAAUAAUUUUAUUUGUAAAGUAAGAUAUAUGAUUAUGAUGGUGUUUUCGUCUUUUCAUAUCUUUAUAAAUUAAUAAAAAAUUAUCCAUAACGAAAUUUGAACCAAUGACACCAUACAUAUAAAACUUUUCUGAAGUCCAUUGAGUCAUUCACAUUUGCUUCGGCCCCCAAGGCUCGUAUUCAAGUGUUACACAUAACCAUUUACAUAAUUCUUCAUUUUGAUUUACAUCAGUACACAAGUGGUUCCAUAUCAUCAUACCAUUGCAUUUUGAUAUCAUUUACCAAGUUUACCAUUUAUAAUCCCUAUUAAUAGGACUCAAACGAAUAUACAGAUCAUCCAAGCAACACACCAAACUAGCACCGAUGUGUAUAAUCAAAUAAACUGAAGUAACAAAAGUUGGCACAGGAAGCACAUUCCUAGCGCACAAAACAUAUACUGGCACAAGAGGUGCAUCUUGAUGCACAAAGUGCAUACUGGAACAUAAAAUGCAUCCUGGCACAUGAGGUGCAUUCUGACGCAUAAGUGCACAAACUCAUAGACAAUCUAAUCCUAUAACAUGUUAACUAUCUGACUCAACUAGCAGACUAGUUAAUAAGGUACCAAUGUUCAAUUUCAUUUUAUAAUUAAAUACAUAUAUCAUUUCACAAUCAUAACCUUAAUCACAAUCCAAUUCAUUAUCAAUACACAUUAUCCAUAACAAGGUUCUCAAUACAAAGCUAGCUGCUAAGAGUAGCAGAUAAUCAGCAACAAUCAUUGCAAAGUCAUGAAUUAAGCAAAGAAAAGCAUGUGAUGGAUUAAGCAAAUGAAAGAAAAUUACCUUGAGAGGAUGCUUGAAAUUUGGUGAUAGACCUUGGACAUCAAAAGAAAUUAAAAACAGUGAAGAAGAAAGAAUGUUGUGGGCACAAUAGCCAAAAAGAAGAAGAAAAUUAAGAUAGAAACAGGAAAAAUUCCGGGGUAGGUUCCACAAAGGCAGAAUGUUGUUCACCCUUUUUAGGAAUAGUCAAAAUUGGAAUUAUCAUUGUACCAAAAAAAUAUUAGUCACUAAACUAUUGCUAAUUUUUGUUUCAGUCCAAUUUCACCACUAAUAUUUUUGAAAUUAUUUCUUUUUGUCACUCAUGGAACUUUUUAAUUGAUUUAAUAAUAAUUUUAGUCCUUAAUUUGUAUACUUUCAGUCAAUUUGAUUUUAUAAUAUAUAAAAUGGUAAAAAGUUAAAAUUAUGUUUAAAAUUUUAGAACAUUAUAAAAUUAAAAAAAUAAAAAAAGUGAGAAAAUUAGGGAUAAUCAUUUUUAAACCCUACAAAAUUUCUCUAUAUUAUCUAUAUUCAAUAAUCAUUCUUUAAAAACAAACAUAGAAAAAAUAUUAAGCAAAAAUAUUUGUUUUUUACGUCUUCAGUUACUUGACAUAGCUUUUACAUUAUAAGAAAAGAUAAAAUUCUGAAUAUAAUUUCUUUUUACAAUUUGGGUUUUGAAAAAAAAUUAAAAUGUAAUGGAAUUUUGAAUUGAGUUUGGAAAAGAAAAAUUAUGGUAUAUUUUGUAUUCUUUUGACUAAAAAUAUGGCAUCAAGGUCAAUUUCAUAAGUAUUUGUAAUAUCAGUUCUAGAUGUUCUUCAAGGGCAUGAAACUCAACUUGAUAAUACUAUUAAUUUGGUUUCGAGAAAUAUUCAGGAAACAUAUAUAUAAUAAUCUAACUUUUUUUUUCUUUUGAUUUUAAUUUGUUAUUGGAUGUUAUUAAAUGAUGAUUUUCUUUAUUUCUGAUACAAUUUAGUUAUGAAACAACAUAUUCAAGAUUUUAUUUUUCUAGAAUUCUUUUAAAAAUUUUAGUUUAAAACUUUUUUUAUCUAUACUGUGUUAAAGCCUUUUACUGAGUUGGUGUCAACCAUCAAUCGAGUCUCAAGAAAGAAAAUUACCAAAAACAAGACAAAAAGAAGCAAAAUUGGGAGUCAAUUGUUAUGGUCUUUGCUGCAAUAUUGAAUUAUUAAUGGUGGAUGCCAACACCUAAUAGCAAUCUGGCAAAAGGUUCCAUCCUUUUUAGUUGUGGUUUAGGGGUAUCAAUUAAACUUUUAAUCACUCCAAAAACUAUUUGUAGUGUUCCAAUAACUAUAAAUGAAUGCAUGUAAUUAAUCAAAAGUUAAAUCUUUUGGUCAUUGGUCAAUAAUUAUAUCACUUAAUUUUUGAAAAAGAAUUAUAUUGUUUGAAUAGUUAUAAUAUUAGAUGAAUAAUUAUAUGUAUUUUUAAAGACGUUAUUAUUCAGAAAAUACACCUAUUGAAAGACAUAAAAAUUCUUAUAAAUAGGAAUUGUAUUUUAUUUGGAAAUCACACCAACAAGUUCUAAAAUUCUUCCUAUCCUCCCUCAUUUUCUAGUAUUAUUAGAUUGUUUUAUAAAGAGCUACUGCAAAAAUUCUUUGUAAAAAUUAAGUUUCUUGUUACAUAUUGCUCAGUGCUUAGUGAACUAUUCACGUUAGUGCAAAAUGUAAAUAGUCAUCGGCUUCAUUGUAUUCUCAAGGUUAAUUUGCUUGAAAUUCCUUUGAACACCGAAUAUAGGUGAGAGCGGAUAUAACUUUAAAGAUAGUGGUUUGAUACACGUCUUGAAGCCUUGUCAUAUUUCUUCAUUUUCUGUGCGAGUUUCAUUUGUGUUCAAAAUUUUCCUCACCGGAGAUUUGUUCUAAUAUAUAUAUAUUAAUAGCAAAUGAUCUAAGAAGACAUGUAGAUAUAUAUACAUGAUAGGUUCUAAAAGUAACAUGUUUUAAUCUCAUUCUUAAUGCGUUUUUGGGUGAUUAUUCGAUGUUAAUGGUGAAUUUUAUGCUUCCAAUCCUUUAAAUUCAUGUUUCUAUACUUAGGAGAGCAUUUGGGAGAAAAAAGAGCGAAAAUCAGAAAAUUAGAACAAGUUUCAGGAGCCACACGAGCUGGGUCAUUCCACACGGACGAGUGAGUCAUACGAGUUGCCACACAACAAUGUGCCAAACCGUGUGGAAAGCACAAAUUGCACUCUAAACACGCAGAAAAUCGUAAUUUUUAAGUUUUUCGAUCAUUCUAAGACAUAUAUGAAAAAGAUAAGAAGAGGGGAGUGAGUCGUCAUAUAAUAUUGAAGAAAACAACUCGAAAAAUACCAUUGAAGCCGACUUUGAAGCAUAUUUCCAUCAAAAUUGAAGUUCUCCUUUUGAUUUCUUUGAAGAUUAUUAUGAGUUUCUUUAUUUCUUAUAGUUAUACUAUCUUUGAGAUGUUUUUAUUUACUAUAUGGACUAAUUUUUUUUCCAAAUACCUAGGGAGAUGAACCUUAGGAUGAAUUCUAUUAUUUGAUUUCUAUUUUUAUGCAAUAUAUACUUAAAUCUUGUUCUCAAUUAUGUGUGCUUAAUUCUUGUUUUAAUAUUUCUAAACUAUUGAUCCAUGUUUUAUGUGCUUAAAUCAGAGGAGGAAUAGACAUUGUUUAAGAGUAGAUCUAGCAUAAUUGAGUGGAGUUGCAUGCAAUCCUAGAAAUAAUAUGACAUAAAUCUACCGGAUUAGAGUCAAAUUUAACAGAAGGAUCUAUAGAUCAAGUUAAUGCGAUAAUAGGGGUUUUAAUUAGAAAGAAAUUCCAAUUAAUCAAUCUAGAAUCAGUUGCUCUUAGUCUUGAAGAGAGAUAUUAAAAUAAUUUAGGGAUUUCUCCGUAUUAAGAUAUACAGUGAAGAAAUUGUGUGAUUUAGAUUGAUAAUGACAGAUGAAGUUUAGGUGGAUUCUUUCCUAAAUAUUGUCUCGCUUAUUGGUUGUUAAUAGUUUAUUGUUCUGAUAUGUUCUUUGUAGUGUUCUUUAGUUAAUUAAUUUAGUUAAUUUUAGCUUUAAUCAAUCACUCCAAUUUGCCGGUUAAAUAAUAGAAAGACAGUAAUUACUAGUACUUUUAGUCUUUGUGGGAAUGAUAUCUUUGCUCACCGUAACUAUACCAUUAAUUAAUAAAUGCACUUACCGUAAUUAAAAUUUUAAUUGGUUUACGACUGCAAUCGCUACACAUAACUUUAAAAGAUUAAUUGAUGAAGUUGAAAGACUAAAACUGUUACUAUAAGUGUUCUAAAACAGUGUCAGUCUUAACGUCAAAUAAAAAACUUGUUAUUUUAUGCAAAUUUAAAUGUUGUAAAACUAUUGCUUAGGGUGCAAAUCUAAUGUAUACAAUCAACUAAAUGUUGAGCAAAUAAAUAUUAGAAUAUGGCAACUCAAGUUCAGGAUAUAUAUUACAGUUUUUACUAAUAAAAUGAUCAAUCAUCUCACAAUUACCUCUUUCACCAUUACUAUAACAGUUGGACGUCAAAUAUUAUAAUUCAAAGAUGAACAUCAAUGAUUACUAAUAAUGAAUACAGCAUUCCAAACAAUAAUUUGAGAAAAUAGGAAUGUUUGUAUAAACCAAUACAACAAAAUAAGGUGUAGCCACAUUGCUUUAUAAACAAAGAAAUUCUAACAACACUCUCCCCGUAUGAAAACAAAGCAAUAAUUGACUCUACUAACACCUUAAAAGUACUCUCUAAUCCUAAAACAAGCUCAAUUUUCAAUAAUUUGGUCCAAUUGCCCUCUGUAUUCAAUUCCCACACCUCAUCAUUACUUUCAACACGCCACAAAGAGUAAUAUGGCCAUUAAAACCGGCUACCCUCCCUACUCCUUUUCCAAUGGCUGAUACUAGCAAUUGAAAAACUCCUCUACCCAUAUAGUAUGCAAUUAUUAAAUUUCCAAUUAUAAACACCAUUUAGACAUGCUUUACCUCCAUCGGAAUUUUCGUAUAGCUCGAACAAUAACUAAAUCAAGGGUGAGCGUUUGAUCGAAUCCAGUGAAAACAUUUUGAGUUAAUCGAGUUUACAGGUUUUAUUUUAUCAUACUAACUCGAUUUGGAAUUUUUUCAAAUCAAAUCGAAUGAAAUGAAAUUCAAAUAGAGUGAAAUUGUUCAAGUUAACUUAAAAAAUUAAACAUGUCAAAUUAAAAUCUUUUAUGUAGAUUUAAAACCAUAUAUAUUUAAAAACUUAAAUAAAUGCCUCUUCUUCUGAAAGGAGCUUCACUUUUAUCACCUUACAACCCAUAUACUUACACACAUGCUCCGAACGGGUUGUCAACACCAACUUGCAGCCAUUGCUGCCACUCGGCUCAGGGAUCCCAACUUCCUCUAGAGAGACUUCAUCCCACACAUCAUCUAGGAUUAGAACAUGCUUUCCUGCGUUCUUCAGCAUUUCUGACAAGAUUGCAGCUCGUACGAGCUUGUCCUCUUCUUUGUCUAAAUAUUCCUUCGACUCCAACGCACUUGCAAUAUUAUCUUGUACCUUCAUUACAUUAAACUCCUUUGAUAUGGUAACCCAGAUGACCCUUUCGAAUCUUUCUUGUUUCAAAAGAUCAUUGUGGAUGUGCUUCAUGAUAGUGGUUUUACCCACACCGCCCAUCCCCCAAACCCCAAUCUUGCUCACCUCCUCCUGCAUCAAACAUGCCCAAAUCUCAUUUCUGACAGCUUCCUCUCCAACUAGUUCUGAUGUUGGCAGUGGCAACCCAGCACUUGGACCAUCCAUGGCAAGACCUUCAGAGGCAUUAGGGGCUUUAUCAAGAAAUUCCUUCAUUUCUCGAGUCUUUUCAUCAACCAGCUUCCCGUUGCAAGCACGACAGAGAUAUCUCCCAUUACUGACUUUGUUUUCAACAACAUGUGCUUCCCUAAUCAUCUGUUUCACAGCUUUCAACCAAUUUUCAACUCCCUUCUUUGGUAUCUUCCCCAGAGGCCGAAGAAGCUCUGCUUUCAAUUGCAGCUCUAUUUCUUCCAUUUUGCAAUUCAAUUCAUCUCUCAUCCUCUUGAAGUUUCUCACAUAAUCGUUCAGCUUUCUGUGAUAUUGCAAAUAUUUACAAACAGGAGUGCCGAGACAAUUUGCAAUGCCAACAACAGGCUUUACGUGCUCCAUUGCUAUGUCCCUGCAAUGCAAUCAUAUAAAACAGUAGCAGAGAAUGAAAAUCUGUGAAUGAAUUGGAUAUUUUAUGAAGUAUUGAUAUGUCAGUGUAAGCAUGAAAAGGAAAACAUGAAUGCAAGUUUCAAGCAACGGCGUUUAUUAGAUGGAGCUAUGGAUGGGUGGCAGACAGAAACAUGAUGAAAUUCUGGUCACCAGAAUUAAGCUCUCGAUGUAUAUAAAAUGCUAGAUUCAAGUGUGCAACAGUUCAUUACAGAGUAUUAAGAGUUAAAAUGUUCUUUCUGUAUUAAUUUCAAUCUAGAGUAGAUUAUGUCUGCUGAUCAACUUGUCUUAAAAUCUAAAACUGUUGAUAAUGAGUAGAGGAAAUCAUAGCUUCAGAUUUUAUUACCUGACUUAGUGGCUGAAAAGUGUUGAGAGAAUAGAACUGAAAAUGAAGCAGUGUCUUACAAAGCUAGCUGCUAUGAGUAGCAGACAAUCAGAAACAAUCAUCGUAAAGUCAUGAAUCAAGCAAAGAAAAGCAUGUGAUGGAUAAAGCAAAUGAAAGAAAAUUACCUGGAAAUUUGGUGAUAGACCUUGGAGAUCAAAACAGAAUCAUUGAAGUUGGCAAUAAAUAAUAUUUAAUAAAAAUAAGAGUUGGGACAGCAAGGUAUAAGAAUGUAUAAUUAUAUGUUACAACUUGAAAUUAAAUAUACAAGUAAAUGAGUUGUAUUAGUAAAUGAUUUGCAUUGUGAAGUUGUCAGUAUUAAAUUUUGGAUCCUAACUGUAGACAAUUUCUUACAUAUGGACAUUUAGUAAGAAUAUAUAUAUAAAUAAUAUUAAGGAAAAUGAUAUGUCUCUGUUUUUACUUCUUCUAUUUCUUGACGUAGCUUUUACAUUAUAAGAAACUAUAAAAUUUCAAAUAUAAUUUAUUUUUAUAAUUUUGAUUUUGAAAAAUAAUUUAAAUGUAAUGAAAAUUUGAAUUGAGUUUGAAAAAUAAAUUUUUUGUGGUAUAUUUUGUAAUCUUUUGAUUACAAAAAAUGGAAUCAAGGUCAAUUUCAUAAGCCUUGGUAUUAUUUAUAUUAAUAUAAGUUUUAGAUACUCUUCUAGGGCAUGUAAUUCAACUUUAAAAUAUUACUAAUUUGGUUUUAAGAAACAUUGAUUUGUUCUGUUUUUAAUUUAUUAUUAGAUUCUAUUAAAUGAUAAUUUUAUUUAUUUCUCAUUACAAUUCAGUUAUCCAACAACAUAUUCAAGAUUUGAUUUUUUUAGAGUUUUUAUAUACAUUUUCCUAUUUUAUAAAUAUUUUUUAGUUUUUUUAUAAUUUUAUACAAAAUCAAGGUCAAAUUGGCAGAAAAUAUAAAAUUUGAGGACUAAAACUAUUAUUGUACCAACUAAAACAAGUGCCACUUAGGUGACAAAAAACAAACAAUUUGAAAAACACUAGUGACCAUAUAACAUAUUUCUACUCAAUUUUCCAUAUCACAUAUCACAUUUCAAAGUAAUUCAUGUCAUUUUCCAUUUUAUUAAUUUUAGUCUUCUAUCUCAAUAUUUCAUAUCAAGCCUAACACAACAAUUCACAUUUUCGUUAUAUACUCACCUUGACAUUUCCUCAUUCAAUAAACAAUGUAUAUGCAAACAAAUAAUACGAUCUCGAAUCAUACAAGUACAAAUUGUAGGCUUGCGUCACUCGUCAACAACUCUCACUUUUCCUUUUCCUUUUGAAGGCUCAGUGCCGACAUUACUACGUACAAUCACAAAACUGUUCACCAGAGUUAACCUCUCAAUGUAUAUAAAAUGCUAGAUUCAAGUGUGCAAGAGUUCAUUACACAAUAUUAAGAGCUAAAAUGUUUCAAGUGUUUGAGAUUUCUAUCUAUGAUAGAUUAUGUCUGCUUAACAUCCUAUCCUGCCUUAAAAUCUAGAACUGUUGAUAAUCAGUAGAGGAAAUCAUUGCCGUAUUACCUGAAUUAGUGGCUGAAAAGUGUUGAGAGAUUAGAACUGAAAAUGAAGCAGUGAAGUUGACUUCCUUGAUAGGCCUUGGAGAUCAAAAGAAAUUAAAAACAGUGAAGAAGAAAGAAUGUUGUGGGUACAAUAGCCAAAAAGAAGAAGAAGAAAGUGAAAAUAGAAAUAAGCAAAAGUGUAAUAGGUUCCACAAAGGCAGAAUUCUGAUUAAGAAAUCCCAUCUGUUCUUUUAGUUUUUUUUUCUUUGCUGUCUGCCAUUAUAGUUGGCAUUAAAUAACAAUAAGAAUUAAUGGGAAACUAUGGGAUACCCUCCUGUUGCUAUUUCAAUUUCAAUUUUUUAUUUUUGUAAUAAACAUAGACAUGCCUGGGAGGGGGUGUUGCACCUCUCGUGAGAUUCCCUUCAAUUGCUAGUUCAAUUUCUUUUUAUUUUUAUUUUUAUAAUAAACAUACACAUGCCUGGGAGGGGGUGUUGCACCCCAUGUGAUCAAGAGUUGCAAUAACGUUACUGCGUAUGUCUUACUUGAUAGUUACUGAAUGGUUGAUGAUAACCAAUUAAUUUAAAUUGUAGUAAUAUUCAUCGUUGAGGAAGCCAGAAAAAGGCAUAACUUCAAUAAAACAAAUUUUCUAAACAAACAAUCAUAUUUAUAGCACACACAACAAAAACAACUACGAAUUAAAACUCAAAACAUUCUAACAUUUCACAUCAUGCGCAUGUUGACAAUUAUUUUUUAUAAUUAAACUAUAAAAAUGCUUAUCUAUGCUUUUCAUUUUAUGUUGGUCAUCCAACUAUUAAUUUUUUUCAAUUUAGUCAUUGAACUUUUCGAAAUUAAAUAUUUUAAUUACUCCAAGCUGAUUGGGCUUUCUUUUAUUGGUCUAGUAACUAAAUUAGUCGUCUAAUAGUUACACGUUCUAUUAAUUUAAUCUUAAAUAUAAAAAAUUCAAUAAAUCUAGCCUCAAUGUUCACAAAAUUUGUCAUUUUAGUUCUAAUUCUAAAAUUUUCAAUAAAAUUGGCCCUCAAUAUUUAUAAAAUGUUAGUACAAAUCUCCGGUGAGGAAAAUCUUAAACACACGAACGGAACUCGAAUAGAAAAUGAAGAAAUAGGACAAGGCUCCAAGGCGUGUAUCAAGCCACUAUCUUUAAGGUUAUAUUUGCCCCCACCUAUCUUUGGUGUGCAAAAAAGUUUCAAGCAAAUUAACCUCAAGGAUACAAUGAAGUCAAUGACUAUUUGUGUUUUGCACUAACAUGAAUAGUCCACUAAACACUUGAUAAAUGUAUAACAAGAAACUCAAUUUCUACAAACAAUUCCUGCAGUAACUCUUUAUAGAACAAUCUAAUAAUAUUAGAAAAUGAGGAAGGAUAGAAAGAACUUUUAGCAUUUGUUGGUGUGAUUUCCAAAUGAAAUCUCAUUCCUAUUUAUAGGAAUUUUCAUGUCUCUUCAUAGAGACAUCUUUCAAUAGGUAUCUUUAUGAAUAAAUAAAUAAUAAUAACUAUUCAUUUAAUUUUAUAACUAUUCAAGUAAUAUUGUUUGAAUAGUCAUAAUUCUUUUUCAAAAAUCAUAUGAUAUAACUUUUAACCAAUGACCAAAAGAUUUAUCUUUUGAUUAAUUACACCCAUUCAUUUAUAGUUAUUGGAAUACUAUAAAUAUUUGAAAACGUUCCAACACAAAAUCCAUCCAUUUAGUCCUAACUCUAAAAAUUUAAAAUAUAUAUUUGAAAAAUAAUUUUUAGUUUUGUAUUACCUAUCGACUAACUCAUGUGAGAUAUUAGAAUAAUUUUUAGUUGUGGUUUAGGGGAAUCAAUUCAACUUUUAAUCACUUAAUUUUAAAUAAUUUUUAAUCUAAGACAUUUUAUUUUGGAUAAUUAUUUGCAAUUUAGUAUUAACACUAGCAUGUUUACGACAUUGGUUUUGUUUUUUUCUAAAUUUGCUAAGGAAUACAAUAUUUUAUCAAGAUACUUAUGAUCACAAGUCACUUUGGGUUGGAACAUAUGCAAAGGGGAGAUUUAAAGACUUGAAUGUGGGAAAGGGGAACAACUCCAUCAAUGUCCCAAUGAAUUUUAUUGACAUUAAUUUAACUACUAUUAUAUCUAUUUUCAUUUUUCAAGGUUUGAUAAUCAUCUUGCUCAAAUUAAUUAAAGAAACUCAUGAAUUAUCAAAUGUUAAUAUUGGUGUAUUAAAUUCUUCUUGAUCUCUACUGAUUGUAUUAUCUGCCAAUAUUUCUUGACUGUUAUCUCCAUAUGGAUACUCAAUAUAUGUUGUUCCUUUCUUCAUUUUUAUAUUAGAGACUUAAAAUCCUCAAAGCAAGUUUGUUGAAUAUGUCCCGUCUUUCUCAUUCAUUCUCUCGCUCUUUGACAUGAACCUAUUCCUCUAUAUUUUUUAGCUUUUUUCUCCAAUCAGGAGAGCCUUUUGAUUGAACGUUCAAUGGCACUAGAGAUAUAGACUUGUUAAAAUCAUUUUAUAAACAAAAAAUAGUGAACCGAUACCAAAAUAUAUUUACAUUCUAAAACUCUAAUUAGGAAAUUAUUACCUUUGCAAUUAAGUAUGAAAACCUCCUUAAUUAAUAUGAAUUAAUCAAUUAGUUAAAAAGUCUCAUAUAAUCAUUUUACUCUAAUUAUAAUCUCCCACAAAUGAUUCCUCCACUGAGACUAUUUCUCCCCAUGGAUCAACAAAGUUUGUGUUACUUUUACGAUGAAGUGGAUAGAAGUGGAAAAAGUAAAAAGGACCACAAGUUACAUUAAUUUGUCCCAUGUUUGCUUUGUGCAGUUCAGGAUUUAAGAGAUGUAAGGUAACAUUAACUUGAUAGAUGUAUCAUAACACAAAUAAUACGAUCCCGAAUCAUAAAAGUACAAAUUGUAGGCUUGCGUCACUCGUCAACAACUCUCGCUUUUCCUUUUCCUUUUGAAUGCACGUUAGGUACGUACAAUCACAAAGCUGUUCACCAUAGUUAACCUCACAAUGUAUAUAAAAUGCUAGAUUCAAGUGUGCAAGAGUUCAUUACAGCAUAUUAAGAGCUAAAAUGUAUAGAUUAUGUCUGCUUAACAUCCUAUCCUGUCUUAAAAUCUAAAACUAUUGAUAAUCAGUAGAGGAAAUCAUUGCCUUAUUACCUGAACUAGUGGCUGAAAAGUGUUGAGAGAUUAGAACUGAAAAUGAAGCAGUGAAGUUGAGUUCCUUGACUGGAUGCUUGAAAAUUAGCGAUAGGCCUUGGAGAUCAAAAGAAAUUAAAAACAGUGAAGAAGAAAGAAUGGUACAAUAGCCAAAAAGAGUUGCAUUAAUAACGUUACUGCGUAUGUCUUACUUGAUAGUUACUGAAUGGUUGAUGAUAACCAAUUAAUUUAAAUUGUAGUAAUAUUCAUCGUUGGGGAAGCCAGAAAAAGGCAUAACUUCAAUAAAACAAUUUUUCCAUACAAACAAUCAUACUUGAGCCAUACAUAUUUAUAGCACACACAACAAAAACAACUACGAAUAAAACUCAAAACAUUCUAACAUUUCACAUCAUGCGCAUGUUGACAAUUAUUUUUUAUAAUUAAACUAUAAAAAUGUUUAUCUGUUCUUUUCAUUUUAUUUUGGUCAUCCAACUAUUAAUUUUUUUCGAUUUAGUCAUUAAACCUUUCGAAAUUAAAUAUUUUAAUCACUCCAAGCUGAAUGGGCUUUUUUUUUAUUGGUCUAGUAACUAAAUUAGUCCUCUAAUAGUUACACAUUCUAUUAAUUUGAUCUUAAAUAUAAAAAAUUCAAUAAAUCUAGCCUCAGUGUUCACAAAAUUUGUCAUUUUAGUUCUAAUUCUAAAAAGUUCAAUAAAGUUGGCCCUCAAUAUUUACAAAAUGUUAAUUAAUUUAGUUAAUUUUAGUUUUAAUCAAUCACUCCAAUUUGUUGGUUAAAUAAUAGAAAGGCAAUAAUUACUAAUACUUUUAGCCCUCGUAGGAACAAUAUCUUUGCUACUCGUAAUUAUACUAUUAAUCGAUAAGUACAUUUACCUUAAUCAAAUUUUUAGUUGGUUUACGACCGCAAUUGAUACACAUAUCUUUGAAAGAUUAGUUGAUGAAGUUGAAAGACUAAAACUAUUACUGUAAGUAUUACUGUAAGUGUUCUAAAACUAAUGCUUCGGGUAAUCUAAUGUAUACAAUCAAGUAAAUAUUGAGCAAAGAAUUAUUAGAAUAUGAGAACUCAAGUUAAGGAUAUAUAUUACAGUUUUUACUAAUAAUGUAGAAACAAAAUUAUCAAUCAUCUCACAAUUACCUCUUUCACAAAAUGAGCAAAGAAACAUUUUGUAGAUUCGACCUAGAAGAGAGUUUUGCCAAAGUGAAGAAAUAUGGGCUUCCCCAAGAUGAAGGUGUAAAAUCCUCCAUCUCCAACCCGACAGCCCAGCUUUCUGGUAAAAUGUUUUUGGAUAUUUUCUUAUAAUAAAAGUGUACAUUCUGGAAAUGUAUUGGAAAAAGAAAGGGUUGUGUUGGUUAUGAUGAGUAAGGCUACCAAUGAGGUGUUGGAGAGGAGAGGUGGAAUUUUAGCAUUGAAACAAAUAGUGAGGGUAAUAGUUGAUCCUCUUCUGCUUUAAUGUUUUACUUGACAUCAGUUAAUUUGAAAUGUAGGAGAUUUUGCAGUGUCACGGGCACAGAGUGACAAAGAAAUUAUGAGAGAAAUACAGGCAAUCAACUAUCACUUACUUGCCAUGCCUUGAUGAACCAUGUAGAGCACUAUUUGAGUUCAAUUUUUUAAAAGCUUUCCCAUGCCCCAGUAUGUGUUAAUGAUGUAUGAUUUGAUAGGGAUGAUACAUUAGUUUUUUAAAAGCUUUCCCAUGCCCCAAUUUUUUAAGGUUUUAAAAAUAGCAUAAAAAAAAUUAAAAUAAAUAAAUAAAAAGAUUUAAGUUAAUCUAAGUCCCACUUACCAGAUUUUAUAGAAUUUAAAUUGGUGAUAAGCUAAAGUCUUACCACUGAUCAGUAGACUCAUCAUUGAAAAUAAGAGAUAAGCCCUAAGGCUCAAGUUGAACAUAAUACCAAAAUAAAUAGGAAAUAUUUAAAAAUAAAAUUAAACCCAAGACCUUAAGCAAAUAUUCAAAGCACUUAACCACCACACCAAAUCAAAUUACUUAGAUACUUAACAACUAGAAUUCAUAAAGUUUGGGGCAUUACGCCAAUGUAAAAUAAAAAAGUUGAAGUUUUUUUUAAUCCAGAACCUCUGUAUCUAUGCCUCUCUCGACAACAAGAACAUCCUGUUUUAACUUUUUCUUUUUAAAAAUGUAAACUUUCUGGCGUUACAAACUACAGAAUUAUUGAGAACCUAUGAUAUUUUCAGUAUUUAAAACUGAAAAAAUUUAAACCUUUAGCUUCGAAAUAAAAGUCGGACAACAAAAUGAAGCAAGAAAAAAAAGAAGGAAACUAAGUUUUUUUAUUUAUUUUUAUUUUCCAACUUAUCCAUCACAAAUAAAAGAAAUAGGAAAAUGUGUUUCAUAUAUGGGAAACGUGGAGGGGUUAUUUGCAACAUAAUCCCCUUAAUGUUUUUAAUUUAUUUUAAAAGGGAUUUCACCUUUUUAAUUUUCUCAUUUAGUCCUCAUAAUUUAAAAUAUUAUUUAAUUUUAGAAAUAUGUUAAUAUUAUUAAGUAUGUUAAUCCCUACAAUUUUUAUAUUACUUAAAGAAAAGGAAUUUAUCUUAUUUAAUUUCCACUUUUAAUUUCUAAUAUCAUACUUUUAUGAAAGUACAUUAUUGUUUUAAUCUUUAUGAUUACGUUUACAUAUGAAUAAGUCCAAUUAUAUAUAUAUAUAUUUAGAAGGUUAUUUUGGGAAGUACAUAUAUUUAGAAAUAUGUUAAUAUUAUUAACUAUGUUAAUCCCUACAAUUUUAUCCUCCCCCCUACUUCUUUCCCACCAACCCUUUUAUCUUUCUCUUCAACAUCAUCACAAAUAUACUUCCAAUUUUAUUAUUAUGGAGAAAUUAGAUUUAUCAAAAUAAAACAAUAAACAAAACCAUAAAUGGUUCAUACCUCUUAUCCUGCAAAGGGGUUGAAGCGAAGAACAUUUUUAAAGUUUGGAUGGUCAUCCCACUCCAACCAUUCCCACCAUUCUUCCCAUGACCUGAUGGUAAGAGAAGGUGGAGCAUAUGCAAAUGGCUGCCCAUUGCCAACAAGGGGAACAAAUGGAGGAAAUCUCUUCAGUUUAUAACAGUCUCCAGCAACUUGGAUAAGUUGGAGAGAAUCACAAACCAUCACUCCACUUUUGCUGCAUAUGCUCUUCAAAUUUGGUAAUUCCCAGAAUGACAACUCUCUCAAUUUGGGAAGAUGGAAUUUGAUUAAUGCAUCACUCCCUUUUUCUUCAACUUCAGAUGUUUCUGCUCCCAAUAUUUCUACUAGCUGGCUACAAGCAAGCACAUGUAUUUCUUCCAGGUUUGAAGGUUUGGAAGCAACCAAUGUGGAAGCAACGUCUUCAUACUUGAGCAGUCCACUAUCUUAAUUUCCUUAAGAUGGGAAAAGGUGGUAGACGGAGCGAAUGUUGAUGUUGUUGCUGAACCAAUUCCUGCAUCUUUCAUAAUAAGGGCACUCAACUUUGGAAGAGCUAGAAGAUUCAACAUCUCGAGGCUCUGAAAUGGAUACGCGAAAGAAGAGGCAAAAGAGGACAGGGAAACAACACACUCUAUCCCUUUACA